CGCAAUGGGCGAAAGUCUGACGGAGCGACGCCGCGUGGAGGAUGAAGUUCUUCGGAAUGUAAACUCCUUUUGCCAGGGAAAAAGUUAUUGAUUGUACCUGGAGAAUAAGAAGUUGCUAAACUCGUGCCAGCAGCAGCGGUAAUACGAGUGCUUCGAGCGUUAUCCGGAAUCAUUGGGCGUAAAGGGUGUGUAGGCGGCGAUGUUAGUCUUAUGUUAAAUCUUUCGGCUCAACCGAGAGUCUGCAUGGGAAACGGCAUUGCUUAGAGGACGGAAGAGGUCACUGGAACUCAUGGUGUAGCGGUGAAAUGCGUUGAUAUCAUGGGGAACACCAAAAGCGAAGGCAAGUGACUGGUCCGCUCCUGACGCUGAAACACGAAAGCGU
This 382-nucleotide ribosomal RNA is filed under the name uncultured bacterium. RNAcentral describes it as "bacterial SSU rRNA". It matches the Rfam family "Bacterial small subunit ribosomal RNA", at positions 367 to 762 of the family's 1533-position model. The record is from RNAcentral.